RNAcentral lists this ribosomal RNA (253 nucleotides) under uncultured bacterium. RNAcentral describes it as "partial 16S ribosomal RNA". It matches the Rfam family "Bacterial small subunit ribosomal RNA", at positions 524 to 776 of the family's 1533-position model. The record is from RNAcentral.
GACGUAGGGUGCGAGCGUUGUCCGGAUUUAUUGGGCGUAAGGGGCUCGUGGGCGGUUUGUCGCGUGGACCGGGAAAACUUGGGGCUCAACCCCAAGCCUGCGGUCGAUACGGGCAGGCUAGAGUUCGGUAGGGGAGACUGGAAUUCCUGGUGUAGCGGUGAAAUGCGCAGAUAUCAGGAGGAACACCGGUGGCGAAGGCGGGUCUCUGGGCCGAUACUGACGCUGAGGAGCGAAAGCGUGGGGAGCGAACAGG